UACGUAGGCAGCAAGCGUUGUUCGGAGUUACUGGGCGUAAAGGGUGCGUAGGCGGUUCUGUAAGUAUGGUGUGAAAUCUCCCGGCUUAACUGGGAGGGUGCGCUAUAAACUGCGGGGCUAGAGUGUGGGAGAGGAAAGUGGAAUUCCUGGUGUAGCGGUGAAAUGCGUAGAUAUCAGGAGGAGCACCGGUGGUGUAAACGGCUUUCUGGACCAUAACUGACGCUGAAGCACGAAAGCGUGGGUAGCAAACAGG
RNAcentral lists this ribosomal RNA (253 nucleotides) under uncultured bacterium. RNAcentral describes it as "partial 16S ribosomal RNA". It matches the Rfam family "Bacterial small subunit ribosomal RNA", at positions 524 to 776 of the family's 1533-position model. The record is from RNAcentral.